GGAAGUUUGAUUCUGGCUUUAUUAUUAAUUGUUUUAAUUUAAUUAUAUGUUAAAAUUUUAAUUAUUAUUUAUACAGUAAUUUGUUUUACAAACAUUUUUAUUUUUAUCUUGAAAUUUAAUAAAAUUGGAUUAAGUUUUGUGCCAGCAUUCGCGGUUAUACAAAUUUUUUAAGUUAAUAUUUUUGGUUAAUUGUAUUUAAUUUAUUAAUGGUUUAUAUUUUAUUUUUAUUUAGGUGGAAUUUAUAUUAAUAAUUAAUAUCUAUAUUAAUAUUAUAUUAAGUUUUAUAUAUAAACUAGGAUUAGAUACCCUAUUAUUUUUUUAUUUAAAUUUUUCCAGAAUAUUAAUAGCUAAGUUCUAUAAAACUCAAAGAAUUUGGCGGUAAUUUAUCUUUUUAGAGGAACCUGUAUUUUAAUUGAUAUACCACAAUAAUUUAUACCUUAAUUUUAUUUGUAUAUCGCUAUAUAUUGGAGUGUUUUUAAAGAAAUUUUCUAUUAUAUUAAUAUUUUAUAUUAGGUCAAGGUGCAGUUUUAUUAAGGUAAAUAUGGGUUACAUUAUUUAUAAUUUUAUUGGAAAAUUUCUUAUAGUUAUUUUAAAAUAGGAUUUAUUAGUAAUUAUAAUAUAUUAAUUAUUUUGAAUUUAGCACUAAAUUAUGUACAUAUCGCCCGUCACUCUCAAUGAUAUGAGAUAAGUCGUAACAAAGUAGUUUUACCGGAAGGUGAAUCUAGAAUGU
This 730-nucleotide non-coding RNA is filed under the name Atkinsoniella xanthoabdomena. The record is from RNAcentral. Lineage: Eukaryota; Metazoa; Arthropoda; Insecta; Hemiptera; Cicadellidae.